CCUACGGGUGGCUGCAGUGGGGAAUAUUGGACAAUGGGCGAAAGCCUGAUCCAGCCAUGCCGCGUGUGUGAAGAAGGCCUUCGGGUUGUAAAGCACUUUCAGUGGGGAAGAAAGCCUUGGGGCUAAUACCCUCGAGGAAGGACAUCACCCACAGAAGAAGCACCGGCUAACUCCGUGCCAGCAGCCGCGGUAAUACGGAGGGUGCGAGCGUUAAUCGGAAUUACUGGGCGUAAAGCGCGCGUAGGCGGUCUGAUAAGCCGGUUGUGAAAGCCCCGGGCUCAACCUGGGAACGGCAUCCGGAACUGUCAGGCUAGAGUGCAGGAGAGGAAGGUAGAAUUCCCGGUGUAGCGGUGAAAUGCGUAGAGAUCGGGAGGAAUACCAGUGGCGAAGGCGGCCUUCUGGACUGACACUGACGCUGAGGUGCGAAAGCAUGGGUAGCAAACAGGAUUAGAUACCCGUGUAGUC
RNAcentral lists this ribosomal RNA (465 nucleotides) under Vreelandella stevensii. RNAcentral's name for it is "partial 16S ribosomal RNA". It matches the Rfam family "Bacterial small subunit ribosomal RNA", at positions 338 to 795 of the family's 1533-position model. Lineage: Bacteria; Pseudomonadati; Pseudomonadota; Gammaproteobacteria; Oceanospirillales; Halomonadaceae. The record is from RNAcentral.